GGGGGGGGGGGGGGGGGGGGGGGGGGGGGGGGGGGGGGGGGGGCGGGCGGGGGGCGGGCGCCGCGGGCGGGAGCGGCGGGCGGGGGAGGAACACGUGGAUAACCUACCUAUAAGACUGGGAUAACUUCGGGGAACCGGAGCUAAUACCGGAUAAUAUAUUGAACCGCAUGGUUCCAUAGUGGAAGACGGUUUUGCUGUCACUUAUAGAUGGAUCCGCGCCGCAUUAGCUAGUUGGUAAGGUAACGGCUUACCAAGGCAACGAUGCGUAGCCGACCUGAGAGGGUGAUCGGCCACACUGGAACUGAGACACGGUCCAGACUCCUACGGGAGGCAGCAGUAGGGAAUCUUCCGCAAUGGGCGAAAGCUUGACGGAGCAACGCCGCGUGAGUGAUGAAGGUCUUCGGAUCGUAAAACUCUGUUAUUAGGGAAGAACAAAUGUGUAAGUAACUAUGCACGUCUUGACGGUACCUAAUCAGAAAGCCACGGCUAACUACGUG
This 497-nucleotide ribosomal RNA is filed under the name uncultured bacterium. RNAcentral describes it as "partial 16S ribosomal RNA". It matches the Rfam family "Bacterial small subunit ribosomal RNA", at positions 38 to 507 of the family's 1533-position model. The record is from RNAcentral.